This 500-nucleotide ribosomal RNA is filed under the name uncultured bacterium. Its description in RNAcentral is "bacterial SSU rRNA". It matches the Rfam family "Bacterial small subunit ribosomal RNA", at positions 28 to 507 of the family's 1533-position model. The record is from RNAcentral.
GACGAACGCUGGCGGCGUGCCUAAUACAUGCAAGUCGAGCGGAAUGAUGAAGAAGCUUGCUUCUUCUGAUUUUAGCGGCGGACGGGUGAGUAACACGUGGGCAACCUACCUUGUAGAUUGGGAUAACUCCGGGAAACCGGGGCUAAUACCGAAUAAUCCAUUUUGCUUCAUGGCGAGAUGUUAAAAGGCGGCUUCGGCUGUCACUACGAGAUGGGCCCGCGGCGCAUUAGCUAGUUGGUAGGGUAAUGGCCUACCAAGGCGACGAUGCGUAGCCGACCUGAGAGGGUGAUCGGCCACACUGGGACUGAGACACGGCCCAGACUCCUACGGGAGGCAGCAGUAGGGAAUCUUCCGCAAUGGACGAAAGUCUGACGGAGCAACGCCGCGUGAGUGAAGAAGGUUUUCGGAUCGUAAAACUCUGUUGUUAGGGAAGAAUACGUACGAGAGUAACUGCUCGUACCUUGACGGUACCUAACCAGAAAGCCACGGCUAACUACGUG